Non-coding RNA from Nicotiana tabacum (common tobacco), 2934 nucleotides. NCBI's taxonomy places the organism in Eukaryota, Viridiplantae, Streptophyta, Magnoliopsida, Solanales, Solanaceae. The record is from RefSeq and is a predicted model, not a curated record.
AAAACACACCCUUUUCAUCAAAGAAAAACCAAGAAGUGCCAUGUCCUAGGGUUUGGCUGCCAAAAUUUCUCUGCGAAUGCUGCAAAGGUUAUUAAACAUGGUUAAGAUUGACUUGAUUUUUUUACUAUGGUGAUAACUGGAUGAGGGAGCCACAACUUAUAUAUUCUAGAAAGCUUAUUCACACUUGGAAAGGUUAUGAUGUUGAUCUCUUAUCUUUUAUAGAUAUGGUUAAUGAAUACAUGAACAAGUUAGGGUAUGUUGGAGUUCAAUAAUUGAUAGUGAUUGGCCAUUCUGUGAAAUAUUAUGAAAUAUUAGGAGAUGAGGGUAUUAGGACAUUAUUACAACUUGUGAAUGACUAGUUUAAUAUUAUUGACUUGUUUGCUGUAGAGGAUAAUGAAUUAUCUGUUGAUGAUCAAAAUAUAGUGCAUCACACCGAGUCAUACUUGGUAGUAGAUGAAGCAGCUAGUGAUUGCAGUUCAAAUAGUAGUAAUUCUAAUAGUGAAGAUGACACAAAUGAUAGUGACUGUAAUAGUAAAGAUGCUUCAGGUUAUGAUUCUGAUAGGUUGGAGGCAAUAGCAAAAGAAAGAAAGAGGGUAGUUGCUGAUAGGUUGGUUGAGUACAAGGACAUAGACAAGUCCAUGAUAUUCAAAGAUAUACCUGAAGCUAGGAAAUUCAUGAACUUGUAUGCCCUUGCCAAUGAUUAUGAUUUAACACUAGUUAAAAGUGACACAAUAAGGGUCAGAUAUGUAUGUGAGGAUGAUGAACGCCCUUAUGUCUGCCUAAUUUCUAAAGAUAAGAGGAAUAUAGGUGUUAAGGUCAAGACACUAAAAGCUAAACAUGAGUAUAAUCAUGCAUUUGAUAACCAUAGGGUUGAUGCUACUAUUAUUGCACACUAUUUCAAGAAGAAGUUGCAGGAAUCCCCAAAAUAUAAGAUUAAAGAGAUGAAAACAGAUCUAAAAAUAACUUUUAACAUCAAUGCUUCAUUUCAAAGUGCAAGAGAGCCAAAAGAAUGAUAUUGGAGAAUCUGGAAGUAGCUUUACUGAUGAAUAUAACAAACUUGAUGCCUAUGCCAAUGCCUUGAGGCAGAGUAAUAUAGGAAGUGAUAUCAUUAUUAAUAUUUCAAAAGAUGCCCUUACUGAAGGCAAAAGAAGAUUUUUGAGGAUGUAUAUUUGCUCUGAAGCAAUGAAGAAGGGUUUAAGGGAGGGUUGAGACUUUUCAUUGGCUUGGAUGAGACCUUUUUAAAAGGAAAAGCCAAAGGUCAACUCUUAGUUGCUGUAGCUCAAGAUGCUAUGAACCACUUUUAUCCACUUGUUUGGGUUGUUGUAGAUAAGGAAACAAAAGUCACCUGGAAUAGGUUCUUGAGUUUGCUUCAGAAGUCUUUAGACCUCAACAAUAGAGAGGGAGUCACAUUUAUAUCAGACAAGCAAAAGGGUCUACUUGAUGCAGUCCAAUCUAUCUUACCUGAGGCCCGCCAUAGAUAUUGUGUGAGACACAUAGUAUGCAAUUGGAGCAAAAAGGACAUGGGUCUGGAGAAAUGACAAAGCUGGUUUGGUGGUGUGCAUGGAGCAGUUAUGAGGAGGAAUUAAAUGAUCCUUUGAAGACAUUGGGAGAGAUGUCUGAGGAAAGGGUGGAAGAUUUACUGCACUAUCCAGUCAAGUGUUGGUGCAGGGCUCACUUUGAUACAGUGUGCAAGAACCAGAAGGUAGAAUACUUGCGGAUUGCUCGCAAGUGUACAUUUGAUUUCAAUGGUGAGCAUGGGUAUGAGGUGAGUGAAGGGAGUGACAAGUUCAUAGUCAGCUUGGAAACACAAAAAUGCACUUGCAGGACAUGGGACCUUACUGGAACCCCAUGUCCCCAUGCCAUCAGAGCAAUAUUAUACAAGAAGGGCAACUCAUUGGAUGGAAUUCACUGGUGGUACAAUAAGGAAGCUUAUCUCCUAACUUAUAGACACAAGUUACAACAAGUUCCAGGGCAAAAGUUCUGGAAAAAUGACCCAUCACAGGCAAUGGAUCCACCUUUAUUAGUGAAGUUGGCUGACAGACCUAAAAUAAAGUGAAUUAGAGAUAAAAAAGUAAAGAGGCAAGGAGAAUGGUUUGCUCCUAGGAAAGGCAGGGUUAUGUCAUGUUCAACCUGUGGAGAGCCUGGUCACAAUGCUAGGGGUUGUAAUAAGUUGUCAAAUAAUGUAGAAUAUGGACAGUCAUCUAUGGGUGAACAUCAUAAGAAGAAAAAGCAAUCAAACAAGGGAAGAAAACCAAUGAAGAGGCAAAGAACAUUACUUGAUGAAGAUGAAGGAGAUGAAGUUCCCAGAUCCCCAACUGCAGCAACAAUCGAAGAACUACCAUUGUCAGCACCACAGUCCAGACAAAUUAGUCAAGCAAGUGAAGCUAGACAAUUUAUAUUUAUGCCAACACCAAAGGUGCAUAUGCAACAAUAAUGAAGUUCCUGAUUUUGAGAUUCCAAGCUUCGAAUUUGAAGAAGACCCAGCUAUAAGGCCAAGAAGUGUUUCAGAGGUAAAGUCUAGACUCCAAUAGAGGCAGAAACAACCAAUAUCAAGUGGAACAAGAAUAAUUAAAUUUGUUGGUGAUGGUGCUAUAACUAGCAAGCAGUUGGAGAAACAAAAAACGGACAAGCUAAAGGCAAGAAAGGGCAAUGGAAAAGCACAACAAUGAAGGUUGUUUGUUUUUGAUGAUACCUGGAAGCUAUAAUGAAUGAUGGUGGCAGUAGGAUUAGUAAAAACUUUAGUUUUUGUUCUUAGAUAUUCAUGGUGGCAUUAGGAUGUCUUGUUAUCACUUUUGGUGGUAUGUUUUGUGAUUAUAAUAUGGCAUCCCUUUGUCUAAUGUAAUGCACACCUUGACAGUUGGUUUAUGUGUUGGUAACAACUUAUAUGUAUGUUGAUCGUGCUUGUGUUUGGUUAAUAUAUGAAGGAUAUCAUUU